GUGGUGCUGGGGCUGCCCUUCCUGCUGGAGAACCCCAGCGGCUACCUGUCCCGCUCCUUUGACCUUGGCCGCCAGUUUCUGUUCCACUGGACAGUGAACUGGCGCUUCCUCCCAGAGGCGCUCUUCCUGCAUCGAGCCUUCCACCUGGCCCUGUUGACUGCCCACCUCACCCUGCUCCUGCUGUUUGCCCUCUGCAGGUGGCACAGGACAGGGGAAAGUAUCUUGUCGCUGCUGAGGGAUCCCUCCAAAAGGAAGGUUCCACCCCAGCCCCUUACACCCAACCAUAUCCUUUAAAUUGUGGGAAGUCCCCCCCACACACACUCCUGCCCUUGGCCUUGACCACCGCA
This 347-nucleotide long non-coding RNA is filed under the name Homo sapiens (human). RNAcentral's name for it is "non-protein coding lnc-CAMK2N2-4:1". The record is from RNAcentral. Lineage: Eukaryota; Metazoa; Chordata; Mammalia; Primates; Hominidae.